RNAcentral lists this ribosomal RNA (207 nucleotides) under uncultured bacterium. Its description in RNAcentral is "partial 16S ribosomal RNA". It matches the Rfam family "Bacterial small subunit ribosomal RNA", at positions 568 to 774 of the family's 1533-position model. The record is from RNAcentral.
CGCGUAGGUGGUUUUUAAAGUCGUCUGUGAAAUCUCCAGGCUUAACUUGGAGCUUGCAGAUGAUACUGAUUAACUUGAGUGCAGUAAGGGAAAGUGGAAUUCCUGGUGUAGCGGUGAAAUGCGCAGAUAUCAGGAAGAACACCGGUAGCGAAGGCGGCUUUCUAGGCUGCUACUGACACUGAGGCGCGAAAGCUAGGGGAGCGAACA